This 397-nucleotide ribosomal RNA is filed under the name uncultured bacterium. RNAcentral describes it as "partial 16S ribosomal RNA". It matches the Rfam family "Bacterial small subunit ribosomal RNA", at positions 523 to 918 of the family's 1533-position model. The record is from RNAcentral.
CUACGUAGGGGGCAAGCGUUAUCCGGAUUUACUGGGUGUAAAGGGAGCGUAGACGGUUUGGCAAGUCUGAUGUGAAAGCCCGGGGCUCAACCGCGGGACUGCAUUGGAAACUGUCAGACUUGAGUGCAGGAGAGGUAAGUGGAAUUCCUAGUGUAGCGGUGAAAUGCGUAGAUAUUAGGAGGAACACCGGUGGCGAAGGCGGCUUACUGGACUGUAACUGACGUUGAGGCUCGAAAGCGUGGGGAGCAAACAGGAUUAGAUCCCCUGGUAGUCCACGCCGUAAACGAUGAAUACUAGGUGUUGGGAGACAAUAGUUUCUCGGUGCCGCAGCAAACGCAAUAAGUAUUCCACCUGGGGAGUACGUUCGCAAGAAUGAAACUCAAAGGAAUUGACGGGG